This 429-nucleotide ribosomal RNA is filed under the name uncultured eukaryote. RNAcentral's name for it is "SSU rRNA". It matches the Rfam family "Eukaryotic small subunit ribosomal RNA", at positions 592 to 1018 of the family's 1831-position model. The record is from RNAcentral.
CAAUAGCAUAUAUUAAAGUUGUUGCAGUUAAAAAGCUCGUAGUUGAAUAUCUGGUAUGAUGCACCUGGCCCGCCUCUUACGAGCGUGUGUGUCGGAGCGCAUCUGCCAUCCUCUCAGGGAACGUUCAUACCAUUCAUUUGGCCGUGUUCGCGAACUGGGUCGUUUACUUUGAAAAAUUAGAGUGUUUAAAGCAGGCCAAGCGUUUUGAAUACAUUAGCAUGGAAUAAUAAUUUAGGACUUCGGUUCUAUUUUGUUGGUUUUUAUUAACUGGGGUAAUGAUUGAUAGGGAUAGUUGGGGGUGCUAGUAUUGAGCGGCCAGAGGUGAAAUUCUUGGAUUCGCUCAAGACUAACUCAAGCGAAAGCAUUCACCAAGGAUGUCUUCUUUAAUCAAGAACGAAAGUUGGGGGAUCGAAGAUGAUUAGAUACCAU